Molecule: ribosomal RNA, 468 nt
Filed under: uncultured bacterium
Lineage: Bacteria
Description: partial 16S ribosomal RNA
Rfam family: Bacterial small subunit ribosomal RNA
Source: RNAcentral
GACGAACGCUGGCGGCGUGCUUAACACAUGCAAGUCGAACGGAAAGGCUCUGCUUUUGUGGGGUGCUCGAGUGGCGAACGGGUGAGUAACACGUGAGUAACCUGCCCUUGACUUUGGGAUAACUUUAGGAAACUGGGGCUAAUACCGGAUAGGAGCUCCUGCUGCACGGUGGGGGUUGGAAAGUUUCGGCGGUUGUGGAUGGACUCGCGGCUUAUCAGCUUGUUGGUGGGGUAGUGGCUUACCAAGGCUUUGACGGGUAGUCGGCCUGAGAGGGUGACCGGCCACAUUGGGACUGCGAUACGGCCCAGACGCCUACGGGAGGCAGCAGUGGGGAGUAUUGCACAAUGGGCGGAAGCCUGAUGCAGCAACGCCGCGUGCGGGAUGACGGCCUUCGGGUUGUAAACCGCUUUCGCCUGUGACGAAGCGUGAGUGACGGUAAUGGGUAAAGAAGCACCGGCUAACUACGUG